This is a long non-coding RNA of Rhinolophus ferrumequinum (greater horseshoe bat), 403 nucleotides long. RefSeq lists it as uncharacterized. Lineage: Eukaryota; Metazoa; Chordata; Mammalia; Chiroptera; Rhinolophidae. The record is from RefSeq and is a predicted model, not a curated record. The transcript has 3 exons.
UGCCUGCAAAUGGCGUCUGGGGGGCCAGGAGGCCCGAAGAGGGGGGCAGAGAACCGGCACCGGUCACUCCGGAACCGGCCUGGGCAUCCCGGAAGCGGCACCCAGGGAAGGCCCGCCCGAAGGAGGAAGAGAUGUAGAAAAUGAGUCUGAAAGAAAAGGCCCUUACUGACAGCGCCAUAGCCGGGAUGCAGCAGGGCAGAGAUUCAAACCGAAGCCUGUCUCCAGGGCAAGCCCACGUUUUUUCACUGGCAUCGGGCAGCCUGCCUAAUGGGGGCGCCACCUCCUGCCUUGUCCCAGCCGCAAGCCUGGAUCCUUCAGCUCAACCGUCCAGCGGUAACUGAAGCACCGGGGAUCAGGGACUCUGGGCCCCAGCUGUCCCAGCCCCCAGGAACCUCCACUUCUA